GACAGAGGGUGCAAACGUUGCUCGGAUUUAUUGGGCGUAAAGAGCGUGUAGGCGGCCAGACAGGUCUGCUGUGAAAACUCGAGGCUCAACCUCGAGAUGUCGGCGGAAACCGUCUGGCUAGAGUCCGGAAGAGGAGAGUGGAAUUCCUGGUGUAGCGGUGAAAUGCGCAGAUAUCAGGAAGAACACCUAUGGCGAAGGCAGCUCUCCGGGACGGUACUGACGCUGAGACGCGAAAGCGUGGGGAGCAAACAGG
This 253-nucleotide ribosomal RNA is filed under the name uncultured bacterium. RNAcentral's name for it is "partial 16S ribosomal RNA". It matches the Rfam family "Bacterial small subunit ribosomal RNA", at positions 524 to 776 of the family's 1533-position model. The record is from RNAcentral.